AGCAGCCGCGGUAAUUCCAGCUCCAAUAGCGUAUAUUAAAGUUGUUGCAGUUAAAAAGCUCGUAGUUGAACUUCAGACCUGGCCGGGUGGUCUGCCUUACGGUGUGUACUGUCUGGCCGGGCCUUACCUCUUGGUGAACCGGCGUGCCCUUUAUUGGUGUGCGUCGGGGAACUAGGACGAUUACCUUGAGAAAAUUAGAGUGUUCAAAGCAGGCUCAUGCCCGAAUACAUUAGCAUGGAAUAACAAAGUAGGACGUGCGGUUCUAUUUUGUUGGUUUCUAGAGUCGCCGUAAUGAUUAAUAGGGAUAGUUGGGGGCAUUGGUAUUGAGUCGCUAGAGGUGAAAUUCUUGGAUUGACUCAAGACCGACUAUUGCGAAAGCAUUUGCCAAGGAUGUUUUCAUUAAUCAAGAACGAAGGUUAGGGGAUCGAAAACGAUCAGAUACCGUUGUAGUCUUAACAGUAAACUAUGCCGACUAGGGAUCGGAUGAUGUUAAUUUUAUAAUGACUCA
This 508-nucleotide ribosomal RNA is filed under the name Hygrocybe glutinipes. Its description in RNAcentral is "SSU rRNA". It matches the Rfam family "Eukaryotic small subunit ribosomal RNA", at positions 569 to 1078 of the family's 1831-position model. Lineage: Eukaryota; Fungi; Basidiomycota; Agaricomycetes; Agaricales; Hygrophoraceae. The record is from RNAcentral.